UGUCGCGGGGUUAACCAGACCCGGGCUCCGCUUGGCGGACACCGUGCCGAGGCCAUAGCCGCGCCGCCCUCUGCCCGGCUCCGGGCCCAACCUCGAGACCUCCCACGGGGAGCUCGCGCCUGCGACUGCAAUGGGCGGCUUCUGAGGCGAAAGCCACCCCGCGGCGGGCGGUUUCGGGCUUUACUUUUAUUUGGGGACGAGGGGAAGGAGGAGGCGCAGCGCAGCCCUGCACCGAGGCGCGGGGGCCGGAAGCGCGGGCGGCCCCUCCCCCUUCCGCUGCGCCCCUCCCCCACCGCCGCCACCGCGCGCGACCCCCACCCGGCGCGCGACCCGCUCUGCGUCCCCGCCGGCGCCACGUUCCCGCGUCCUUCCCCGCCCGGGCCACGGGGCACGUCCCUCCCCGCCCCCCGCUUACCUGUGGCUGCCGCCUCGCCGCUCUCCGGGGCGGGAACUUCCACUCCCCCCUCCCAGGAGCUGUACCCCGCCCCGCCCCACGUCCGUUUCCGGAGGCCUUGAGCAGCUGUGUGCUCGCGGGAGGCCGUUUUCAUCGAUGAAUGGCGGCGCUGUCAACUCACCUCCUGCCAAUUGACCUUGACCGACGCCGGCCCUGUCCUCUUGGAAGGAGAAAUGAAGAGUGAAGGCUUUGACUUCCUCAGCUUUUUUUUUUUUUUUUUUUGAGAUGGAGUCUCUUUUAUUUUGUUUGUUUCCCCCGAGAUUGAGACGGGGGUCUCGCUCUGUGGCCCAGGCUGUAGUGCAGUGGUUCCAUCUCGAUUCACUGCAGCCGCCAACCCCGGGAUUCAAGCGAUUCUCCAACCUCAGCCUGUGGGGCAGCUGGGACCACAGGCGCGCGCCACCACGCUUGGCUUGAAGAGAUGAGGACUCUAUGUUGCUCAGGCUGGUCUUGAACUCCUGGGCUCAAGUGAUCCGCCGCCUCAGCCUCUCAAAGUCCUGGGAUUACAGGCGUGAGCCACCGCACCCGGCCUUACUCAGAUUUUUCUUAAUCCCAUAAAGUAACAUUGAGUUGUGUCCUUUAACCCAUGGGGAAGGAUUUUCUACAGAAACGGAUUUACAAUGAGACCUAACAAGGUGGCCGGGCGCGGUGGCUCGUGCCUGUAAUCCCAGCACUUUGGGAGGCCCAGGCGGGCGGAUCACCUGAGAUCGAGAGUUCGAGACCAGCCUGACCAACAUGGAGAAACCCCGUCUGUACUAAAAAAUACAAAAGUAGCCGGGUGUGGUGGCGCAUGCCUGUAAUCCAAGCUACUUGGGAGGCUGAGGCAGGAGAAUCGCUUGAAUCCGGGAGGCGGAGGUUGCGGUGAGCCGAGAUCGCACCGUUGCACUCCAGCCUGGGCAACGAGCAAAACUCCGUCUCAAAGAAAAAAGAAACGUAACAGAGUGUUAAUAAAAUGUUAUGCCGUCGUUUUAAUGCAUUACGAAAACUUUUCAGAAUAUUUUUGUGUCUACCUCUCUGGGAGUUAUGCCUUAUUCUUAAUUUUUAAAAUUUCCUUGUAAAAUGCUGUUUUAUGGCUUUAAUGAUAGUAAACGACGAAAGAUAAACUGUUUUAGUAUGCUCUUGACAAAAAGUUCCGAAAGUUUUCUGAAAUUUUACUAGUUUGAGAUCCCCAAUUUAGGAAACUGAUUUAGUAGAGGGAGCUUUGCCUAUUUUUGGCCCUUUGGGUCGGAGAAUGUGAUAUAAAGCCGAAGGUUUACUCUGCCAGACACUCCUAAGAGGUCACUAACGUUUAGCUAUUGACAUUCAGCAAAAAUUGUUGAUUACCUAUUAACUGCUAGACCAGGCGACAACUGUUAUUAAGUCAGUGUUUCAGCAUUACUGAAAGAAAAGUGGCCUAUAAAGGUAAGGGAGGGGAAGAGUUUCUCAGAUAUCAGCUUUCGAUGAUUAUAAUAAAGUCCAGCCUCAAUCAUUCUGGAAUCCAGAAUAUUGAUGGCUGGAAGGCUGGUUGUACAAGUUAA
This is a long non-coding RNA of Symphalangus syndactylus (siamang), 1968 nucleotides long. RefSeq lists it as uncharacterized. The record is from RefSeq and is a predicted model, not a curated record. NCBI's taxonomy places the organism in Eukaryota, Metazoa, Chordata, Mammalia, Primates, Hylobatidae.